GUUACAAGGCUGAACCAUAGGUGUGAGGGGGCUGUGUGUCACAACUCGGGCCGCGAUUUGCCCGAGGUGAGUCACAGAAAUCAUGACGAAAAGAUUGUUUCCAUCGUAAACCGAGCGUUUUUUUGUUUUGUUUUGCUGUUGCCCUGAAAUAUAGCUUAGAGCAGCGUUUUUCAGUUUCCUGAUCGCCUUCCAUGAAUGAGCCCGCGGGUGUGCUGUGCGCAACGGUCCCAGUCCCCCGUGAUGAGAGCUGAGAAAGCGUGCUGCUUGCGUGAGCCUGGGAGAGACUCCAACCGUCAUCUGGAAGUCAUAAAAGCCCCUUUUGAAAACAUUUGAUGUCACUGUAACACAUAUUCAGAAACCAAAGGGAGAAAGAUGUCUUGGAAGAACCUGGUUAGAUCUGACCAUUUUCAAUGUAUGGAGUCGAAGAAGAUGGAAAGAUUUCACCAGUUUCCAGGGCUUCUCUCCCAGUGAUAACGUGUGUUCCACGGCUUAUUAAUCCCAAGUGUUCCAAGCUUGACAACUUGCGGGGCAGAGGGUGCCAAUAUUUCUUAGCUUAAAAUAGCCUUUAGUAUAAAAUAAAUUCCUCUGAUUGCUGUUAUACACCAUAGAUGAAGUCAGAUGAGAUAAGCUUAGUAUUUACAAAAAUAAAAAAUAAAAAAUAUUUCAGAAAUAC
Molecule: long non-coding RNA, 673 nt
Organism: Chinchilla lanigera (long-tailed chinchilla)
Lineage: Eukaryota; Metazoa; Chordata; Mammalia; Rodentia; Chinchillidae
Exons: 2
Source: RefSeq, a predicted model, not a curated record